AUUUGGCACGGGAUGAGCGUCGGUGACUCGUGCGAGACCAGCAGAGAGAAAGAGAGAAAUUGACGCAUGCUAAUGCUGAGAACUACCUAUAAAAACAAGAAUCAGGAGAAAGAAAGGAAUGGAGUGUGAGUGGUUACACAUUCACGACGCUAUUGAGAGUGAAAUGGCGGACACCGUGUCGGUGUCGGUGGACAUGGAAGCCAUUUCUCCUCCACCUGAGGAACAUGUUGUAAGAACUCGCUAUGGUUGCGUAUCUGUUGCUGUGUAUGGGGACCAGGACAAACCAGCGCUAAUCACGUAUCCUGAUUUGGCUUUAAAUUAUGUCUCCUGCUUUCAAGGGUUGUUAUUUUGUCCAGAAGCCUGUUCGCUACUGCUUCACAAUUUCUGCAUCUAUCAUAUUAGUCCACCUGGACACGAGUUGGGAGCUGCUGCCAUUGAUACAGACCGUCCAAUUCUUUCUGCCGACGACUUAGCUGAUCAAAUAGCAGAAGUUCUUAAUUAUUUUGGUCAGAGUGCAGUGAUGUGUAUGGGAGUAACUGCUGGGGCUUACAUUCUUGCCUUAUUUGCUGUGAAAUAUAGACACCGUGUUCUUGGUUUGAUACUUGUUUCCCCAUUAUGUAAAGCACCAUCUUGGACUGAAUGGCUGUACAAUAAGGUCAUGUCAAAUUUACUCUACUUUUACGGCAUGUGUGGGGUGGUUAAAGAAAUAUUGCUAAACCGAUACUUUAGCAAGGAAGUUCGAGGCAGUGACUAUUUGCCAGUGUCUGAUAUUGUUCAAGCAUGCCAAAGGUCAUUGGAUGAGAGGCAGAGUUUGAAUGUGUGGCGGUUCCUUGAAGCGAUUAAUGGGAGACAUGACAUCAGUGAAGGAUUGAGAAAAUUACAUUGUCGUUCACUAAUUUUUGUGGGGGAUAUGUCUCCUUUUCACUCCGAGGCUCUCCACAUGACAUCUAAGUUGGAUAGACGAUUCAGUGCCUUAGUUGAAGUUCAAGCGUGUGGGUCAAUGGUAACAGAGGAGCAACCUCAGGCCAUGUUAACACCGUUGGAGUACUUUCUCAUGGGAUAUGGCUUGUACAGACCAUCUAAGUUGAGUGUCAGCCCAAGAAGUCCCCUGAGUCCCUCUUGCAUUUCUCCUGAGCUUUACUCCCCGGAGAGCAUGGGUUUGAAAUUGAAACCAAUAAAGACACGAAUUUCAGUGGAGAUGUAGUACGGUAGUAGUCGUAGAUGAAUAAAGAUUAGCACCUAUUUUGUAUUUUGAUUGUUGCACAAGUUUAUAGUUCUUUGUUUUGUCAAAAUUCUGGUGAAGGGGGCCAUGUCAUUGUAGAUAGAUGGAGACGAACAGAGGAUCGACAGAGGAAAGAAAAAGGGGGAAGAGUUUACUUGAAAGCAGCUAUAGUCAUUCUUUCAUUUGUGUAGUCAUAGACUUCUUGCAGGUAUGCCCAAACCUCCAUGGCAUGACUAAUGGCGUCAACCUGGACAUCCUCAUAAAUAAUAUACCCUACCUACCAUGCAAAACAAUAAGCUCAGAUUUUGGCCUCAGUUCUGUUUUCUAUUUGAAUAAAGAAAAAGGUGCUUUAUAUCGUUAUGCGACUUUGUUACACCUUUAGUUAACAUUAAACCUUUGAUUACUCAUGCUUAUCCUGUUCCCAUGGUUAUUCUGGAUUUCUUCUUCAUUUCGACAGGCCUUUCUUUUGUUCAUUUCAGCAUACAUCUCUUCAAUCAUAGGUUUCCACAGCCGCACACGAGCAUUUAUAAACCAGUUGGAUACCUGAGUUUCAAGACACAACCAAGCAAGCAUAUCAGAUCGUUCAUCUUUGAACAAAGUAACAAACAAACAAGUAGAUAAAUACCUGACUUCUAGUCAACCCACUUUUCACUGCAAGUAAAUGCUUCUCUGCAUCUUUCGGAUACCUGAAAUCCAUUAAAUGAUAAAUAAAUACUUUCUUUACAUAUAUUCUUUAAAUUCGUUUCAUGGAUAAAACUCUGAUGAUUGAAGUAUAGAGCCAGUCCAAGAAGGCAUAUUGCAUAUUUGAAACUCACGGGUGUAGGAAAUUCUGAAACAUCCAUGCCCGUAGAACCGAGACAGAUCUUUCCGGCAAGCCUCUCUGGGGCCUCCACAGCUGAUCUUUUCUUUUCAACUGCUGGAGAGCCCAUUGCUUUUGAAGGAAUGAAGUUUCAAUAGACCAUUCACUGUCUUCCGUGCACGAUUUUUUGAAACUUGAUCCCAUGGCAAGAAUGUAGUUGCUAAUCCUCUCCCGUAAGUCCUUGUAAAGGACAGAGAUGGUUUGAAGAGCAAAAUGUGCAUGUAUCUGUGGGUCCAGCUCGGUAGCUGCAUGGAAUGCAGAUACAACAUGUCAUACCAGUUGUAGAAGUGCCAGCAGUUGAGCUUUCUUAGAUUCAGCAGCCUGCCUUUGCAAAGGAGACUCUGCAUGAGAUUCGUAAACAGAACUUGCAUUGUGAUCUGUCAAGAUGUUUCUCUUGGGUGGAAACGCUGAAGUUGACUUGUGUCCACCUGCUCUAUUACCAGGGGCUGAAUAGUUUAACUGUUCCAGAUUUUGAAAUGAAUAUCUUGCAAUUUGAGCAAGUAUCUCUUGAAUCCCAAGAAGGUAUCUCGAUUCCAGUACUUCCGGUGAAAUUUGUGCAUGUUUAUUACCACCCAAAUUCAUAGAAAUUUCCCUACUACUGCUGCAGGAAAUGGUUCCAUUCAUGCACGGGGUCAUAUUAGAGCAAGUCACGUCUGAGCACUGUCCUGCGGCUGUAGAUGUUGCAAGACUCAGAGAAAGUUCUUUACUAAAAUUAGAGGAAUAGUGAGCAUAGUUGGCCAUGUUUGCAACGUUUGAUGUUGCCCAUACAUUUGGAUCCAGGUUUGCCACAGAAGAAUAGGGCUGACAAGUUCCAUCAUUCUCUGGAGCUUUAGGAAAUUUGUUAGCAUUCCACUUACUAGGAAUUUCAUUGUAAGCACACUCCUCAAAAGUUCCAAACCAAGGGUUUGAAGUACCAUGCAAAUUGUUGAAGAAUACCUCUAGUGCCCCCGUGGAAAAGAUUGAGGGAGCUAGGGCGGCGGCUGAAUUCUCCAAAUUUUCUUCAAGACCAAUUCUAUCAGCAAGAAUGGCAGCAAGCGAAGCAGGAGUGAGGGGCACUCCUCCAACUAAAUGCUCUUGAAACUCAGAGUUCGCCAUGGGAUUUGAGGCAUCUCCCACAAUAGUCUUUCUCCGUGAUGUAACUAAUGGAGUGGAGUCAGCAAUAGUUGAUGGACUAAUGAAGCAAGCAUCAGCAUGGACAUUACUUGUAGGUUCACCUUGCUCUCCAGAAAGCAUUGAAAUUCCAUUUAUGAUA
Molecule: RNA transcript, 3333 nt
Organism: Vigna angularis (adzuki bean)
Lineage: Eukaryota; Viridiplantae; Streptophyta; Magnoliopsida; Fabales; Fabaceae
Gene name: protein NDL2
Exons: 14
Source: RefSeq, a predicted model, not a curated record